Molecule: ribosomal RNA, 359 nt
Filed under: uncultured bacterium
Lineage: Bacteria
Description: partial 16S ribosomal RNA
Rfam family: Bacterial small subunit ribosomal RNA
Source: RNAcentral
CCUACGGGAGGCAGCAGUGAGGAAUAUUGGUCAAUGGACGCAAGUCUGAACCAGCCAUGCCGCGUGCAGGAAGACGGCUCUAUGAGUUGUAAACUGCUUUUGUACGAGGGUAAACGCAGAUACGUGUAUCUGUCUGAAAGUAUCGUACGAAUAAGGAUCGGCUAACUCCGUGCCAGCAGCCGCGGUAAUAGGAAGGAGUCAAUUGUUAUCCGGAUUUAUUUGGUUUAAAGGGUUCGUAGGCGGUCGGGUAAGUUAGAGGUGAAAUCCCAUGGCUCAACUUCGGGAGUGCCUUUGAUACUGUGCUGCUAGCGAGUAGAUGCGGUAGGCGGAAUGUAUGGUGUAGCGGAGACAUGCUUAGA